This 133-nucleotide non-coding RNA is filed under the name uncultured Symbiodinium. The record is from RNAcentral. Lineage: Eukaryota; Dinophyceae; Suessiales; Symbiodiniaceae.
AUAAUAAAGGAAAACAAAUAAAAGAAACAGAUUAAAAAUGAAAAAGGAAAAGGCAUUUAGUCUUUACAGAAAGGAUUGGGACGCUGUCCGGCUUUCUUUCUUAUCAUCUCAUUUCCUUUUUCUCUCAUCUUUU